CGUGGGGGAUGACGGCCUUCGGGUUGUAAACCCCUUUCAGUAGGGAAGAAGCGAGAGUGACGGUACCUGCAGAAGAAGCGCCGGCUAACUACGUGCCAGCAGCCGCGGUAAUACGUAGGGCGCAAGCGUUGUCCGGAAUUAUUGGGCGUAAAGAGCUUGUAGGUGGCUUGUCGCGUCUGCCGUGAAAACCCGAGGCUCAACCUCGGGCGUGCGGUGGGUACGGGCAGGCUAGAGUGUGGUAGGGGAGACUGGAACUCCUGGUGUAGCGGUGAAAUGCGCAGAUAUCAGGAAGAACACCGAUGGCGAAGGCAGGUCUCUGGGCCAUUACUGACACUGAGAAGCGAAAGCAUGGGUAGCGAACAGGAUUAGAUACCCUGGUAGUCCAUGCCGUAAACGUUGGGCACUAGGUGUGGGGGACAUUCCACGUUUUCCGCGCCGUAGCUAACGCAUUAAGUGCCCCGCCUGGGGAGUACGGCCGCAAGGCUAAAAC
This 490-nucleotide ribosomal RNA is filed under the name Brachybacterium faecium. RNAcentral's name for it is "bacterial SSU rRNA". It matches the Rfam family "Bacterial small subunit ribosomal RNA", at positions 400 to 900 of the family's 1533-position model. The record is from RNAcentral. Lineage: Bacteria; Bacillati; Actinomycetota; Actinomycetes; Micrococcales; Dermabacteraceae.